Molecule: non-coding RNA, 73 nt
Organism: Stegodyphus mimosarum
Lineage: Eukaryota; Metazoa; Arthropoda; Arachnida; Araneae; Eresidae
Source: Rfam
GCCUUCGUGGUGUAGAGGUCAGCAAGCUAGACGCGUAACUGAGAGGUCCGAGGUUCGAUUCCCGGCGAAGGUG